Chrysemys picta bellii (western painted turtle) is the source of this 4772-nucleotide non-coding RNA. NCBI's taxonomy places the organism in Eukaryota, Metazoa, Chordata, Testudines, Emydidae. The record is from RefSeq and is a predicted model, not a curated record.
UCAGCAUGCCGAGCUCUCGGCGCUUUCAAUGCCGGCCCUGGCAGGAGACGUGUCAGACAAGCUGGAGGGAUCCCUCCCCUGCCAGGAAGGUCAAGUUCUGAGUCGGGAGCAGCUGCACUACGCUGGGAUUGGAAGGAGUAAGGGCACUUCGCAGCUAUGAAUCCAGGAGCCACGCACCAUCCCUGGGACUGGGUGCCCAGAGUCUACUCCGCAUCAUUUAGCAACCCCUGGCAUCACCGUGACCGCUCGGUGUCCGUCCCAGCCCACUGAAGUGCUGGAAGGACUGGCUAUGCUCCGGGGAUUACGGACGUUUUAAUCCUCCUCUCAGCCCCCACACAGCCACCCCCAUCGUCCCACCAGGGCCUCUCUAUGGAGACUGAGAGACCCAGCUCCAGCUUGGCCAGAGAAGUUACACAAGCCACCCCCGGAGCAGCGCUCGGAGCCAGUGUGUAGUGCUGAGGGCAGAUUUGGAGGGUAAUUAACUUCAGAACAAUUUACCCAGGGCUGGCUGGACUCUCCAUCGCUUGGGGUCCUUAACUCCAGGCUGGCUUGGCUCUCGCUCUCGUUCUCUCUCUCCCCAAAAGGACCGAGCUCACUAGAAGCUUGGGCCAGAUGCAGGAAUCCCCGGAGGAGGAUCUCUGGCCUGUGUGCCACAGGGGGUCAGUCUGGAGGAGCAGAAUGGGCCCAUUCUAUGGCUGUAACAGAUGAGUCUCUGAGGAACCUUCUGUUUACUAUUCGUUUCGACUUCAGCUUGAUACAAACUCCAUCCUGAUGGGCUCCUCCCAUGCAACGCUCGGGGCACCCGGACAUUCAAAAUGCAGCUUCGUUUUGAUGCGAUUCGAUGAGUCGUCAUCGGCAGGACACGCUCGGCCACUGGGCGCAGGGGCUGAAUGAGCGCUGCCCUGACAGCUGGUGAUGGGUAGGGAGAAGACGGCAGGAACUGACCUUUCCAUGGACACACCCACCUUGCCUAGGUGUGCAGCACCAUGGAGCUGCGGGUGUUGGACUGCAAGUCUCUGUGUUAGCGGGGGGGCCGAAGCCUAGUGGAGCUGAGAGACCUCGAGACAUUGCAGAGGUUGCAGUGGAGCGAGCCGCUGAUGGUGAGUGAGCGGGUGGCGGAGUGGCGGGCGAGUGGCGGGCGGCAGAGCCAGUGGCUGACCGGCGGGGCGAGCGGCUGACUGGUGGAGUGAGCAAGGGACCUUCCUGCCCCCCCGCCCCCAGGGGAGAGGUGAACUCACAGGAAUGCACCUCUGAACUCUGGGGCUUCACUGAGUAAGUGGGGUGUGGGGGCCGUUGAAGGACCUUGUGUUGGUUGGAUGUUCUCACCACAAGGCGAGACCCUGAGGCAAAGGACACCGCUGCGUUACUUUCCCCUGUGCAGCUGGGGCCCUGCAGGCCUCGAGCACGUUCUAUGCUCUGAGCCACCGGCAGCACUAGCUGCUCCUUGCGGUCACCUGAAGGGCAAACGCAGCUUCUCUCACCCUCCAUCUGCCAGGCGCCAUAGGAGCUUGGGGAAUGUGGUUCCUCCAUGGGGAGCCCUCGCCUUCCUGGGCCUACCCGGAGUCCCCUGCCUGGCACCAAGCACUCGCCUCUCUCCAGAGUUCCUCGCUCACGCUGACCUUGCUGACAGCGGCUGCAUCUGCCAGGAGGGUGCGUGAGCUCAGUGCCUGACUGGCCUCGUGCUCUGCUCCGCAAGGACCAGGUCCUCAGGGGGCCCCAUCGCAGUGUCCUGCCUGUGCUGCUUUCCGCUUUCCACUUCUCUCCAGUGGCGUCCCUGCCCUGUGUCCUUUGACAGGCCCUUUCCCACCCAGGCGAACUCGUCUCUAUGCCCCAGAUGGAGCGAGGCCACUCUGCUUCGGCCUAGGAAAGACCAAGCCCUUAGGAAGCCACUAGGUUCUUUGGAGCAUAUGGGCAGAGAUGCCAGGGGAUCCGUUACCAGCACCAUGGACUUGGAAAUGUUUAGAACAUUGUUACAUCUUGGCUGGGCAGCCAGGACCCCUUGGUUCAAAGACCCACCCCCCACGGGCCCCACGACUUCUGUGGCAGGCCUCACACAGUGCCCCCGGUGGAGACAAGCAAUGCGGAGCUAGGGGCCCCUUCGCCAGAGGCUGCGUGGAUUUAGCAUCUCGCUGCCGCCCAUGGCCCUUCGGGAGGGAGGUGCUCCAGGCCACACUUAGCCAACAGCUCCUUGUCCGCCGGUGUCGCUGAUCUCCUGCCUGCGGGACAGAGAGGCUCUGAAAGGAGAAAGAGAAGCCGCUCCCCAGAACUGUUGGUCUUCCAGUUGUGUCUGUGCAGUCCCCCUCCCCGGGUGCCUUCCCUUCUACCUUGGAGCGCUCUGAGCCACCGGGACCCGGAGGCCUGGGGCCCGGUUGGGGGUGCCUCCCUUACACAGCGCAGGGCAACGAUGUCACCCUCAUGCGAGAGUGCCCCCCAGUGGCUUUUCCAGACAGUUCCACUGUGCGACAUCAGGGACACUAUGUCCCACAAGUGGGAAUGCACCAAGCCGGCUCCCAGGCUGUGUGUACGGCAGAGCUCUGCCGGCAAACCCGCCUAGCGGAGACGCAGCUCUAGCGGGACCCCGGUGCAGCUUGUCCCCCCAGCAGGAGAAACUGUGCUGGCAGAAGCUGCGUCUGCUCCAGGGCUUUUGCUGUCACAGCCGGGUUGGCUGCGGGGAUUUUCACACUCUACCACGCACAGGCAAUGCUGGCAAAAGUCAAGUGGAAACCAGGCUUCAGCAAACAUCGAUUCCUGGUAACAAUCUCUGCAGAGGAGAGCUUUCCCAGGCCGUUGCUGAUUCUCAUCGCCCAUCUCUGAACCCCUCCAGUUCUGCAGUAUCCUCUUGGAGAAGGGGUGACGAGACUGUGCCAGUGCUUACGGAACAUCUGUACCAGAAUAAGGUCCCUUUAUGGGGAUAUAACUGCCUCUCCUCGGGGGGCAUUGUGUCGCUUUCACUGGACCUGGGUAGUGCAAGCAGUGCAAUUUUUGUCUGCAGACAAGGCCUUACUCUAUGUGUGUGUGUAGCUCCCACCACAAUGGGGUCCUGGUCUCAGCUGGGGUCUCUCCGUGCUACUGUGAUAUCAAUGAUAGAGUGAUUCCUAGCUUCCAAGGCCAGAAGGGACCGUCAUAAUGAGCCCGCCUGAUCUCCCGUCGAGCACAAGCCAGAGAGCCCCACCGAGUGGUUCCAGCAUCUGACUCAUGCACUAGCUCGGCCAGAAGGUACCUUUGAGACAGAUGUUGUCGCCAGGUGACAGGGAACCUCCACAUCCCUGGGUCAAUUCUUCCGAUGGUUGAUUACCCUCCCUCCUAAAAAACUAUACCUUAUUUCCAGGCUGAACUUGCUUUCUAGCUUCAGCUUCCAGCUACUGGACCUUGUUCUCCUUUGUCUGCUCGACUGAAGAGCCCUCGGUUGUUAGAAAUCUCUCUGUGUAGGUAUCUAGCAACCGUGAUCACUUGGAAAAACUCAACCGAUUGAGCUUCUUUAGUCUCUCCUUUGUCCAGACCUCAGAUGAUUCGUGUAGCUCUUCUCUGAACACUUUCCAAUUGGUGACGUUCUUUUUAAACGACAAACGUCAAAACGGGACAAUUUCCAGUAAUGGUCUCAUCAGUGCUCAGUGUGGAAAUGACUGAAGAUCUCUCUCCGGAUCCAGCAGGUCCCAGCGACAGGAGAAAUGUAUGGGACACACCUGUGGAUGGCAGCUCGGCCCAACCUUUACAAAAAUCAGUCUUGCCCACAAAGAGUUCUCCAGUCAUCCAAAGAAGACAUGUCCUGGUUGGGGAUUCAAUUCUCAGAAGAAUCAAAAGGACAUUCUGCAAGGAACAGGUGAGCAACAGAGCCAAGACGCAAGCCCUCACUCUAAAACUGGACAGGCUUCUGAAGUUAGACGAUGAUUAUAUCGACACUAAUGAUGCUCUGUGGCAGGAUUUCUCGCCGGGAAAGAGGACUUCAGGGAACUCAAAAGCAGGCUGAAGAAGACGAUUGUCCAGCUGAUCUUCUCUGAGAUCCUCCCUGUCCCAUGAGAUAAGGAAGACAAAAGGCAGAAGAUUCUGGAAGUGAGUCACUGGCUAGGUAAGUGGUGGAGGUUUUUUUGUGGAACUUUGUUCCACCUUCUGUGGGGAGACCGACCCGUGUAGUUUGGAUGGACUCCAUCUCAGUAGACAGGGGAGUAGUCUCCUUGGGGACAGGUUGGCUAGAGUAGAGUAGAGGGGAUUAGACUAAUAGCAAAAGAGGGAAGAUAUGAGCACUCAGCACAAAAUCGAGAUGUUGAGAACAAAAUUAAUGGAGGACCCGAAGGACACGAGGAGAAGAAAUUCUUGAGUUGCCCAUACACCAAUGCUAGGAGCCUGCGUAACAAACAAGAGGAAUUGGAAUUGCUCAUUUAUGAGCAUAACUUCAAUGUAGCUGGUAUCACUGAAAUCUGGUGGGAUGAGUCUCAUGAACGGAAUGUUAAUAUCAGUGGUUCUAUGCAGUGAUGUUGUAGCCGGGUCGGUCCCAGGAUAUUAGAGAGACAAACUGGGGGAGGGAAUGUCUUUUAUUGGACCAACUUCUGUUGGUAAGUGAGACAAAUACGCUGAGAGAACCUGUUUCAGUACAGAAAUACCCCCAGCCCCGAUCACACACCCCUAAUUGUCACCUACCACCACACACUGGAACUCAUAUGGGGUAUCAUCAAACAAUACUUAAUGGGAACCCCAUCCUGAAAGAAAACUUUCCUGAACCCCAGACCAGCCCCCAGCCCCAGGUUCACCUGCCCCAGGGCUGUUCCACCCCACCA